UUAGGUUGAGGUUGAGACCAUUUUGUGUGAGCCUGAAGAUGCUGCAGGUACUCCGACGCCCAGCGUUUCCAAAAGUGAUCGCGCAUCUGCUGAAGUAACUGCCAGCGUGUUAAACGUGCCGGUUUUUCGUCGGUCAGCGACGGUUCGGGCACGGCUGUAAGCGGAGCUCCUACAAGAAAGUGACCUGGCGUUAAAAAUUCGUUACAAUCGGGGUCAGUUCCUAGGGGCGCCAGGGGGCGAGAAUUUAGACAAGCCUCGAUUUGAGCCAGUACGGUGGACAUUUCUUCAUACGUGAGAGGAGCCUCCCCCACCACUCGCCUAAGGUGAAACUUCAUGGAUUUCACCGCUGCCUCCCAAAUACCGCCAAAGUGAGGGGCGGCAGGAGGGUUGAAUUUCCAUGUUGUUCCGUCCAGAGCUAAAGAGCUAGCCAGUUUUUGAAAAUCAAAUUUCGCGGCGGAAAAGAGCCGACGCAGUUCUCGAUCGGCGCCAAUGAAAUUUGUGCCUUGAUCGCUCGUAAGAAUAGAACACAUUCCUCGGCGAGAUACAAAGCGUCGAUAAGCUGCAAGAAAAGCGUCAGUCGUAUAAUACGAUACCAGUUCUAAGUGAAUCGCUCGAGUGGAAAGACAGACAAAGACAGCGACAUAGGCUUUGCGAGUUUGGUGUCCUCUUCCAGGACUAGUUUUUAUGAAGAAAGGUCCAGCGUAAUCGACGCCGGUAUUUGAGAAUGGCCUAGUCGGUCGUACGCGAGUGGUGGGGAGAUCAGCCAUUUGUUGCUGCGUAGUUUUCGCGAGCCAUCGCCAGCAAGUGAUACACGAGUGAAUGUAAGUGCGUACAGAACGUCGACCAGCCAAAAUCCAGUAUCGUUGACGAAGAGCUGCUAAGGUAAGUUGUACUCCACCAUGAAGUGUUUUUUCGUGAGCUGCGCGUAUCAGUAAAGUUACGAAGUGACCUUUAGUUGGUAGAAUAAUUGGGUGUUUUUCUUGAAAAUCCAGUAACGAGUGUUUUAACCGUCCGCCGACUCGAAGAAGCCCGUUGUCGUCGACGAAGGGGUUAAGUCUGACAAGAGGUCCGCGAGAGAGAGAAGCAGACUGUUCGAGCAGAGCUUUUUCCGUGGAAAACGAGAUUGCUUGGACGCCGUGAAUUAAGAAACGAAGUACCAGAAACGAUCGCGCAGGACGACCUCACUACCCGAGCUUCCUGAUCCAUAACCAGAUUUUUUAGAAGAUAUUCCGCGAGAGGCAACGUCUGCCGGAUUCUCGGCGGAACGAAUGUGUCGCCAAGUUGUUUCGGGCAAAGUAGUUUGAAUUUCGGAGACCCGAUUGGCGACAAAGGUCUUCCACUUAGAAGGGUGCUGUUGCAACCAGCUGAGAACAAUGGAAGAGUCCGACCAAAGAUGAAGCGAGCUUUUA
Molecule: long non-coding RNA, 1409 nt
Organism: Osmia bicornis bicornis
Lineage: Eukaryota; Metazoa; Arthropoda; Insecta; Hymenoptera; Megachilidae
Exons: 3
Source: RefSeq, a predicted model, not a curated record